UGAACGCUGGCGGCGUGCCUAAUACAUGCAAAUCGAGCGAACAGACGAGGAGCUUGCUCCUCUGACGUUAGCGGCGGACGGGUGAGUAACACGUGGAUAACCUACCUAUAAGACUGGGAUAACUUCGGGAAACCGGAGCUAAUACCGGAUAAUAUAUUGAACCGCAUGGUUCAAUAGUGAAAGACGGUUUUGCUGUCACUUAUAGAUGGAUCCGCGCUGCAUUAGCUAGUUGGUAAGGUAACGGCUUACCAAGGCAACGAUGCGUAGCCGACCUGAGAGGGUGAUCGGCCACACUGGAACUGAGACACGGUCCAGACUCCUACGGGAGGCAGCAGUAGGGAAUCUUCCGCAAUGGGCGAAAGCCUGACGGAGCAACGCCGCGUGAGUGAUGAAGGUCUUCGGAUCGUAAAACUCUGUUAUUAGGGAAGAACAAAUGUGUAAGUAACUAUGCACGUCUUGACGGUACCUAAUCAGAAAGCCACGGCUAACUACGUG
Molecule: ribosomal RNA, 495 nt
Filed under: uncultured bacterium
Lineage: Bacteria
Description: partial 16S ribosomal RNA
Rfam family: Bacterial small subunit ribosomal RNA
Source: RNAcentral